This 254-nucleotide ribosomal RNA is filed under the name uncultured bacterium. Its description in RNAcentral is "partial 16S ribosomal RNA". It matches the Rfam family "Bacterial small subunit ribosomal RNA", at positions 524 to 776 of the family's 1533-position model. The record is from RNAcentral.
UACGUAGGGAGCGAGCGUUGUCCGGAUUCAUUGGGCGUAAAGAGCUCGUAGGCGGCUUGAUAAGUCGGAUGUGAAACCUCCAGGCUCAACCUGGAGUCGCCAUCCGAUACUGUCAUGGCUAGAGUCCGGUAGGGGCCCACGGAACUCCUGGUGUAGCGGUGAAAUGCGCAGAUAUCGAGAGGAACACCAGAGGUGAAGACGGGUUGCUGGGCUGACACUGACGCUGAUGCGCGAAAGCCAGGGGAGCAAACGGG